Long non-coding RNA from Triticum aestivum (bread wheat), 2795 nucleotides. RefSeq lists it as uncharacterized. NCBI's taxonomy places the organism in Eukaryota, Viridiplantae, Streptophyta, Magnoliopsida, Poales, Poaceae. The transcript has 8 exons. The record is from RefSeq and is a predicted model, not a curated record.
CCAAACCCCACACAAAAAACGCUUCUCUCGAUCCCAUCUCGAUCUCAUCGAAAGAAGAGCUUCGUUGCCCCUGCCGACGUACGGGAGAGCUUCCUUGCCGCCGCCGACGUACGAUCUGCCGCGAUCUCGUUCGAUCUACCCGCUGCCGAUGUACGAGAUCGCCGACACCGAGAUACGGGAUCGCCGCCAACGUACGAUUUGCCGUCUCUCGCUGCCGCCGUUGUACGAUCUGCCGUCUCUCCCAGAGGAGGCGCCGCCGCGGACGUCCGGGAUCACCGCUGCCUACGUCCGGGAUCACCGCCGCCGACCUGCCAGAGGAGACGCCGCCUCCAAUCUCCUAGAGGAGCCGCCGCCGCCGCCACUCUCCGACGGGAGACGCCGUCGCCGGUCUCUGACGGGAGACGCCGUCGCCGCCGCCGCCGACCUUUGAGGGGAGACGCCGCCGCCACCUGCACUGAACCCCAGGGCAGGGUGCGACGAUCGUCGCAAGGAGUACUUGCCGGCCGUACACAGGUAUUCUAAACCUUACCAUCCUAUUCUCAUCAUUCACAAAUGUGUUCAGAUAGUUGUUGCUUGUGUCGUUCCUGUUACUAGAGGAGGGCUCCACUGUGGCCAUUCGCCACUCUGCCUGCAAGCUCGACGCCACAGUUUGACAGGGCCAAGGUGGUAGUAGACGAUGACGAAUAUGGCGCCCUGGCUGUCUCAGUUCAUGAGAUUCCCCUAUGGUGGCUGAAUUUGUAACACACCAGGCUGCUCCCCUCGUAUUACAAAUCAGAGCUAGCUUAUAUAUUCAUCCAUAGAUCAUGGCUGACUCCAAAGGCAACACUCCUCCAGUCCUCCUGUGCGUGAUGGCAAAGCUAUGCUACAUGAUAUUAUCACGUUAUCAUAUUGCUCACCAAGUCACUAGGCCAGCUUUUGCUGUACUUUUUCUUCAUUUUGUUCAGAUUUAUUUCAUGCCCCAAUGUUCUGUUAUGUGCAGCUAUGAGAUUUUAUUUGAAGAACCAUGGAAAGCAAUUUGAGACGAUGCAUAUAAAGCAUAUUCGAUUUAUUAAGUGUUUUCAAGUAUUCAAUUUAUUAAGAGUUCACUCAUAAUUGCCGACCGUACACAGGUAUUCUGAACCUUACCAUCCGAUUUUCAGAAUAAGAGUUGUCUGUAUAAUUCACGGUGGUUAAAACAGCAGCAUCUGUAGAAUUCCCCUUUGUCCAUGUUGUACCUACAAUUUACUACUAUAUUUGUAGUGCUACUUCAUUUGAAUUUUGUAACCAAAAGAAAUGCAGGCGAGCGAUUCAGGGUUAUUGUUCGAAGUGGCUAUAAUAUGUAGGGGUUAUUGUUCGAAGUGGCUAUAAUAUGUGGCUGCAAACUUGCCGAGGCCAGCAUAAGGAGUGAUGGAGUUAUCUUCUACUUUUAUUUGUUCAUGUUGUCUCAACAAACUGACUUGUGUUUAUGGCGACUUUUUUAUGUGUCCAUGGAUCAGAGAGGAUGGAUGAUGCAGUGGCCACAUCAAGCGCCCUGUGCUCGACCACAAUGGAAAUGCAGUUUCUCAGAGCUAGCAGGAAGGAGGCUGGUGGCUUCCCGUUGUAGUAAGAGACAACACACCAGAUCCGUUGAUGAAGAAAACAACACAUUUCACGAUAUGAUGAUUGGUACUUCCAGUUUUGUUGUACUCUCUCAUUUGCCUUUGUGGGAACGACACUGCUCUAUUGCUUGCUUAUUUAAGAUCAUGCAUAUAUGCCGCAUGUCAGCCUCAUGGGGAUCAAGCAGAUGAGGAGAAGGAAGCAGCAAGGAAGAAGCAAUUUCACAACUCUGGGAAGAGCAUCUGCUGGAGGGCGUCACCUGCGGCAUCACCUGCAUCGACCUCUCGCUGAUUACCAUCCCAAGGAUGCGCGACCGACUGGCGAAGCAGGGCACCAGUGAUAAGUUCACCGAUUUGGUCGACUCACCGUUCCCUGACUCUGUCCACGCAAUGCCGCUCGUUGUUGUUAGGUGCUUCCACCUUCCAAACUAAAAGGUCUGCAGCCUUAGAUGAACAACUACAGCUUUAUUUGGCCGAGGAUGAUUUGAUUGUGCAAAAGUCUCGAAAAAAUUCAAGACAUACGUAAGAUGCACAUGGACCACGAGUGUUUCAACAUGGCAGGGCGCGUAGUGGCAUGCGACAAGCAACAUAUGUUGAAAGAGACCAUUGAUCACUACUUGGACCUAAUUUUUUCCGGAAUCCAAAGCGAUGCAUUAAGUGGGAUAUUUUUCUUUUAAUUUAUGCACUCAUGAAAUGGGAAAGAACUAAAUCAACCAAUUUGCAGGGAUGGUUGCGAGCUAAGGAAGUGAUUUUUGGUGCACCUUCUCGUCUGCUCCCGCGAGCGGCGAAGCGAACCCUAGCGCGCCUCCUCUAGCCUCCUCCCCCCUCUCUUGCCGGCGUCGGUGGCGGCGAGGCAUCUUCCCCUUCCUCAUGGUGGGCCGACGCGGGACGGCGACUCGAAGCGGAGGCGCGCAGUUCUACAGGACGGUGCGGCGUUGCGGCGGCCGGGGCGGCACGAUGGUGGCGUCCUGGGUUGGCGGCGCGGGCGGCUGCUCAUCAGGGGCGUGGUGGGGCGUGCCUACGCGGGUGGCGGCUGUGGACGUCCUGGCCAGAUCUAGAUCGGGCGGGUGCUCUGGCCAGCAGCCAGCACGCGGCACGGGCUGAGGCGGCAAGGGCGCAUGCAUGCCUCUCACUUAUAUUAUGCGACAGUUGUGGAUGGGGGUAGGGGUUAGUCUGUUUAGUUAUGUCUGAGCGGAAUAAUUUUCCUACUCAAGAAAACGU